GCGGCGUGCCUAAUACAUGCAAGUCGAGCGAACGGACGAGAAGCUUGCUUUUCUGAUGUUAGCGGCGGACGGGUGAGUAACACGUGGAUAACCUACCUAUAAGACUGGGAUAACUUCGGGAAACCGGAGCUAAUACCGGAUAAUAUUUUGAACCGCAUGGUUCAAAAGUGAAAGACGGUCUUGCUGUCACUUAUAGAUGGAUCCGCGCUGCAUUAGCUAGUUGGUAAGGUAACGGCUUACCAAGGCAACGAUGCAUAGCCGACCUGAGAGGGUGAUCGGCCACACUGGAACUGAGACACGGUCCAGACUCCUACGGGAGGCAGCAGUAGGGAAUCUUCCGCAAUGGGCGAAAGCCUGACGGAGCAACGCCGCGUGAGUGAUGAAGGUCUUCGGAUCGUAAAACUCUGUUAUUAGGGAAGAACAUAUGUGUAAGUAACUGUGCACAUCUUGACGGUACCUAAUCAGAAAGCCACGGCUAACUACGUGCCAGCAGCCGCGGUAAUACGUAGGUGGCAAGCGUUAUCCGGAAUUAUUGGGCGUAAAGCGCGCGUAGGCGGUUUUUUAAGUCUGAUGUGAAAGCCCACGGCUCAACCGUGGAGGGUCAUUGGAAACUGGAAAACUUGAGUGCAGAAGAGGAAAGUGGAAUUCCAUGUGUAGCGGUGAAAUGCGCAGAGAUAUGGAGGAACACCAGUGGCGAAGGCGACUUUCUGGUCUGUAACUGACGCUGAUGUGCGAAAGCGUGGGGAUCAAACAGGAUUAGAUACCCUGGUAGUCCACGCCGUAAACGAUGAGUGCUAAGUGUUAGGGGGUUUCCGCCCCUUAGUGCUGCAGCUAACGCAUUAAGCACUCCGCCUGGGGAGUACGACCGCAAGGUUGAAACUCAAAGGAAUUGACGGGGACCCGCACAAGCGGUGGAGCAUGUGGUUUAAUUCGAAGCAACGCGAAGAACCUUACCAAAUCUUGACAUCCUU
RNAcentral lists this ribosomal RNA (971 nucleotides) under Staphylococcus aureus. RNAcentral's name for it is "bacterial SSU rRNA". It matches the Rfam family "Bacterial small subunit ribosomal RNA", at positions 39 to 991 of the family's 1533-position model. Lineage: Bacteria; Bacillati; Bacillota; Bacilli; Caryophanales; Staphylococcaceae. The record is from RNAcentral.